UGAGAGCAAUCUGGCUGCGACAUCUGUCACCCCCAUUGAUUGCCGGGGUUGAUUCAGCUGAUCUGGCUGGCUAGGCAGGUGUCCCCUUCCUCCCUCA
Molecule: small RNA, 97 nt
Filed under: Ursus americanus (American black bear)
Lineage: Eukaryota; Metazoa; Chordata; Mammalia; Carnivora; Ursidae
Description: 7SK RNA (ENSUAMG00000003134.1)
Rfam family: 7SK RNA
About the family: 7SK was discovered as an abundant small nuclear RNA in the mid-70s but a possible function has only recently been suggested. Two independent studies have found that 7SK RNA binds the CDK9/cyclin T complex (known as elongation factor P-TEFb). P-TEFb activates transcription by phosphorylating the C-terminal domain of RNA polymerase II.
Source: RNAcentral